RNAcentral lists this long non-coding RNA (910 nucleotides) under Mytilus galloprovincialis (Mediterranean mussel). Lineage: Eukaryota; Metazoa; Mollusca; Bivalvia; Mytilida; Mytilidae. The record is from RNAcentral.
AUGUAAAGUAUAUUUUUGAAGUUAUUGUUUAAUCUUUUGAUCGUUUUAAAUGAUAAAAAUAAUCAUUAUUGGGAAACAAACUAACACGUGCUUAUAUGCUGCUUAUUUCAUUUUAGUUGUAUUUAACCGUAUAGUACAAUCAGUUCAUUUUCCACUAAUGAAAAUUGAAUAUCAUGACAGAUAUUGAUACACAAAUGUUUGUUAGACCUUCACUGUUAAAGUCGAAGGGGCUUAUAGGUUUUCCCUCCAUCUAUCCUUCCAUCAUUCUCUUCUUUCACUUAUUUGAUAAAUAUUUGGUAUAAAGACAUACCAUAUGAAGAAAAGUUUUUUUGAUAGGGCGAUUUUUUUGAAACUUUGGCAUUUGGACAAAAAAUAUCAGUAAUUAACCACGUAUUGUUUGACUCAAGCUCUGUAUUUCUUUCUACACAUUACCAAUACGUUACAAAAAAAAACAUGCCGUAGGUAAAAAUACUUGCAUCAGUUCCUUCAACUGAUGGUAUUCCAAAUACUUUAUCUGUAGAUAAAAAAAAAUGUAAUUGAACCAUUCAUAUAUUAAGGCUAAUAUAAUUCUUCAAUUUCACACAGGUCCAAUAAGAAUUUUUUUAUUUUUAUAUCAAAAUUAUAAUUUACAUAGAAUUGAUUACAGUUUAGUAUAGAAAAAAAAGAUAAACCUAAAUAUAAUAAAUUAAUACUUAGAACUAAUUUAAGAUGCAUAGUAUACCAUGUGCAUAAGGGCAUUAAAGAGGAAAGACUUUUGUAUAUUUCUCAGGAAUAAUAUGUCUUUUGAGUGAUUUUAACCGAUAUCUGUUUUUUUUUUAAAUUGUCAAUUAUUCCACAAUAAAUCCUUUUUUUUUUUUGUAUCAUGUUUAUUAUUUGUUUACUAUGUAUUUUGUAUAAUGGUGAUUUCGAC